Molecule: long non-coding RNA, 571 nt
Organism: Lolium perenne
Lineage: Eukaryota; Viridiplantae; Streptophyta; Magnoliopsida; Poales; Poaceae
Source: RefSeq, a predicted model, not a curated record
UCAACUAUGCCUCCGCACUUUCUAAUUCCGAGAUAGAAGGCCGAUUAGAAGAUGGAUGUGACGAGAGAACAUUCAACACGCUCGAGGGCAUCCGUCCCUUCCCGCCGAAGUAGACUUGAGUCAAAAACUUUUGUGUCCUGCAAAUAUGACGUACUAUGUCGUCUACCACGGCAGGGUUCCUGGAGUCUACGAGGACUGGGAAGACUGUAGGAGGCAGGUCCACCGUUUCAGCGGCAACAGCUACAAGGGGUACACCACUUUGGAGGAGGCGGAAACUCGAUACGCCAACUUUCGAGCGGGACAGAGGAGGGAGAUGUGGAGGACCCCUUUCAUCGUGAUGAUGCUUGCCGCCACCGUCUCUCUAGUUUAUUAUGUCAUUGUUGUUUAGCUAGGUCAUCGACACUGGACUUAUAUGUAUUUCUGUAACAUGUGCUACUUCGAGUCGUGAUGUUAUGGUCAACUAUCUACUAUCUAAACUUGUCUUAUUAAUGCAUGCAUGUUGUGAACAUUUGGGACUUUCUAUAUAACUGUGUAUCUGGCUGUAUUUCUAGUAAUAUCUGUGUUAUACUUU